Molecule: long non-coding RNA, 1070 nt
Organism: Portunus trituberculatus (swimming crab)
Lineage: Eukaryota; Metazoa; Arthropoda; Malacostraca; Decapoda; Portunidae
Exons: 4
Source: RefSeq, a predicted model, not a curated record
UGUGCGUGAGGUAACUUGAAUUCGAAGGAAUAUAUUUUUUUUACUUGGAAAUAAUAUCCAACUCUGAUAAAAUAAACUGAAGUAUUCCCUCAAGGUGACGAUAGAGCUGACUGUGUUGAAAUAACACUCGAAUGUGCUGCUCUAAGGCAGACCGACGAGGGAAGAAAUUUAGAGAUUUUUUUUCUCUUAUUUUACAAGAAAUGUUCACUUGUUAGAGGAAUACAAUGGGAUUCCAUCCAGAGGCCAGCCUUACAACGCCUGGAUAUAUUAAUAAUCCUGGGACCGUGCUUUUGUCUGUCCGCCGCUUAGCACUUCGAGGCGCUCUGAGAUGCUUGGCGAGGCGGAGGAGGAAGACGAACGCAGACAAGAAGAUGAAGCGGGGUCAGAUUAGCUCAAGUGCUGAAAUCGAUCUGUGUUUAUCUCCAAGGCUGUGGGGGAAGAGGAAGUCAAAGGGAGCUUCAAAUGGCUGAGGGAGGGCUGAAUAGUGGAAAGUGAAGCUCGAGUUUGUGACUACUAUCACCUCCACCACCAGUGCCGUCACCGUCACAGCCGCUGCCUCCUCCUCCUCCGCCGCCGCCGACGCCUCCAUCCUCGCCUCCUUCAUCGGUUACCUCCCACAGUCUAAAAGCAACACCUGACACCCUCGCCUACACUUUUUCGAAGGUGUAACCGAAGAAAACUUGUGCUCCGGCUACUUAGUGUUAUGGUGAGUCCUGUGUGUGUGUGUGUGUGUGUGUGUGUGUGUGUGUGUGUGUGUGUGUGUGCUGUUAUCGGUCUGUGUACCUUUGUUUGUGAAUCGGUGGGUGAUUGUUCUGGGUCUCUCUCUCUCUCUCUCUCUCUCUCUCUCUCUCUCUCUCUCUCUCUCUCUCUCUCUCUCUCUCUCUCUCUCUCUCUCUCUCUCUCUCUCUCUCUCUCUCUCACCUUGUGAUCUGAGAAAUGGAAGGUGAUGGACCGGGUACUGUUGGGUUUUAUGGUGGUGGUGGAAGUGAUGGUAGUAGUAGUAGUAGUAGUAGUAGUAGUAGUAGUAGUAGUAGUAGUAGUAGUAGAAGUAAUAGUAAUAGUAGUAGUGA